GUAGCUCAGCUGGAUAGAGUACUCGGCUACGAACCGAGCGGUCGGAGGUUCGAAUCCUCCCGGAU
Molecule: transfer RNA, 65 nt
Filed under: Escherichia coli B367
Lineage: Bacteria; Pseudomonadati; Pseudomonadota; Gammaproteobacteria; Enterobacterales; Enterobacteriaceae
Description: partial tRNA-Arg
Rfam family: tRNA
About the family: Transfer RNA (tRNA) molecules are approximately 80 nucleotides in length. Their secondary structure includes four short double-helical elements and three loops (D, anti-codon, and T loops).
Source: RNAcentral